RNAcentral lists this ribosomal RNA (1105 nucleotides) under Enterococcus faecalis. RNAcentral describes it as "partial 23S ribosomal RNA". It matches the Rfam family "Bacterial large subunit ribosomal RNA", at positions 332 to 1440 of the family's 2925-position model. Lineage: Bacteria; Bacillati; Bacillota; Bacilli; Lactobacillales; Enterococcaceae. The record is from RNAcentral.
GUUGAAGGAUUUGGAAAAUUCCGCUAAAGAGGGUGAAAGCCCCGUAGACGAAAUGCUAACAACACCUAGGAGGAUCCUGAGUACGGCGGAACACGAGAAAUUCCGUCGGAAUCCGCGGGGACCAUCCCGCAAGGCUAAAUACUCCCUAGUGACCGAUAGUGAACCAGUACCGUGAGGGAAAGGUGAAAAGCACCCCGGAAGGGGAGUGAAAUAGAUCCUGAAACCGUGUGCCUACAACAAGUCAAAGCUCGUUAAUGAGUGAUGGCGUGCCUUUUGUAGAAUGAACCGGCGAGUUACGAUUGCAUGCGAGGUUAAGUCGAAGAGACGGAGCCGCAGCGAAAGCGAGUCUGAAUAGGGCGAAUGAGUAUGUAGUCGUAGACCCGAAACCAUGUGAUCUACCCAUGUCCAGGUUGAAGGUGCGGUAAAACGCACUGGAGGACCGAACCCACGUACGUUGAAAAGUGCGGGGAUGAGGUGUGGGUAGCGGAGAAAUUCCAAACGAACUUGGAGAUAGCUGGUUCUCUCCGAAAUAGCUUUAGGGCUAGCCUCGGAAUUGAGAAUGAUGGAGGUAGAGCACUGUUUGGACUAGGGGCCCAUCUCGGGUUACCGAAUUCAGAUAAACUCCGAAUGCCAUUCAUUUAUAUCCGGGAGUCAGACUGCGAGUGAUAAGAUCCGUAGUCGAAAGGGAAACAGCCCAGACCACCAGCUAAGGUCCCAAAAUAUAUGUUAAGUGGAAAAGGAUGUGGGGUUGCACAGACAACUAGGAUGUUGGCUUAGAAGCAGCCACCAUUUAAAGAGUGCGUAAUAGCUCACUAGUCGAGUGACCCUGCGCCGAAAAUGUACCGGGGCUAAACAUAUUACCGAAGCUGUGGACUACACCAUUAGGUGUAGUGGUAGGAGAGCGUUCUAAGGGCGUUGAAGGUCGAUCGUGAGGACGGCUGGAGCGCUUAGAAGUGAGAAUGCCGGUAUGAGUAGCGAAAGACAGGUGAGAAUCCUGUCCACCGUAUGACUAAGGUUUCCUGGGGAAGGCUCGUCCGCCCAGGGUUAGUCGGGACCUAAGCCGAGGCCGAUAGGCGUAGGCGAUGGACAACAGGUUGAUAUUCCU